This 69-nucleotide transfer RNA is filed under the name Diaphus theta (California headlightfish). RNAcentral describes it as "tRNA-Arg". It matches the Rfam family "tRNA". Rfam says of the family: Transfer RNA (tRNA) molecules are approximately 80 nucleotides in length. Their secondary structure includes four short double-helical elements and three loops (D, anti-codon, and T loops). Lineage: Eukaryota; Metazoa; Chordata; Actinopteri; Myctophiformes; Myctophidae. The record is from RNAcentral.
GGAUAUUUAGUCCAAACAAGACACUUGAUUUCGGCUCAAGAGAUUGAGGUUCAAAUCCUUGACUAUCCU